This 301-nucleotide ribosomal RNA is filed under the name uncultured bacterium. Its description in RNAcentral is "partial 16S ribosomal RNA". It matches the Rfam family "Bacterial small subunit ribosomal RNA", at positions 509 to 807 of the family's 1533-position model. The record is from RNAcentral.
CAGUAGCCGCGGUAAUACGAAGGGUGCAAGCGUUAAUCGGAAUUACUGGGCGUAAAGCGUGCGCAGGCGGUUUGUUAAGACAGAUGUGAAAUCCCCGGGCUCAACCUGAGAACUGCAUUUGUGACUGGCAAGCUAGAGUGUGGCAGGGGGGGGUGGAAUUCCGCGUGUAGCAGUGAAAUGCGUAGAUAUGCGGAGGAACACCGAUGGCGAAGGCAGCCCCCUGGGCCAACACUGACGCUCAUGCACGAAAGCGUGGGGAGCAAACAGGAUUAGAUACCCCCGUAGUCCCUGUCUCUUAUAC